AUGAUACACUCUGUUUCAAGCAUUAUGCUACUCCCUCUUCAGUUGCCACCCUCCGAAAUGUCUACAGUGUUCUGGCCAAGCUCUACGAUCCCUUAGGAUUCAUCCUGCCAUUUACCACUAGAUGUAAGGUGCUUAUCCAAGACAUGUGGAAGGCCAACAUUGGCUGGGAUGAUCAGAUCCAGUCCGUGGAAAUACUUGACAAAUGGCGGAGCUGGGUAGAGGAGAUUCCUGCUCUACAACACAUUAAAUUGCCACGUUCCUAUGCAGACUCUACCGCUGACACUGCCACUUCAACCAGACACAUUCACAUCUUCUGCGAUGCCUCAGAGCGUGCCUAUGGGUCAGUAGUGUACAUGCAGACGGUAGAUGACAAUCAGCACCUCCAUGUGUCCUUUGUUUUUGCCAGAUCCCGGGUGGCACCCAGAAAGCAGCUAUCUAUUCCGCGCCUUGAACUCAGCGCCGCACUUACAGGCGCACAGCUUGCCAAAUUGAUUGGGAUUGAGCUUGAUAUACUUCCCGAGCACAUCAGACUCUGGUCAGACUCCACGACCGUGCUACACUGGAUUAAAUCAGAAUCCUGCCGUUUUAAAGUGUUUGUGGGGACCCGCAUCACAGAAAUCCAGAACUUGACAGACCCUGCUCAGUGGCGCUAUGUCGAUUCUUUGAACAAUCCAGCAGACGAUAUCACACGGGGACUCACCCUGCAAGAGAUAAUCCAAGGACAUCGCUGGAACAAAGGCCCACAUUUUCUUUGCCUGCCCGAGACAGAGUGGCCAACUAUACCUUCAUUGGAACUGGAACCAGAUGCCACAGAGCUGAGGAAAUCUGCCUUUGUUGGAACCGUUUCCACUACUUCACUCAUGCAACUUCCUGACCCCAGGAAGUGCUCCACUUGGAAGCAGCUUCUUCAGGAGACAGCUAGCUCCCUUCACGGGGCGGCUGACGCCAGUAUCACAUCCUCACAUUCAGCUGUUGACUUCCUGCAGGCGGAGAAGCUUAUGCUGCAACGAGUCCAAGAAGAGUGUUUUCCUGAGGAGUUAAGAGCUCUAAGAGCCGGACAUUCUCUGCCCUCAAAUAGCCGCCUUGCAUCACUUUCGCCAGAAUAUGAAGAAGUCACAGGGCUGCUCAGAGUUGGCGGAAGGUUGCGACAUGCAGAAGGCAUCGAUCUGGGUACGAUUCACCCUAUCAUCUUGGACCCAAGGCAUCACGUGACAAAGCUUGUAAUUAAGGAGACUGAUGAAACAUUGCUACACCCUGGGCCGGAAAGAGUUCUCGCUGAAAUCAGGCGCAGAUUUUGGAUUAUACGAGGCAGAGAGGCAGUGCGGAAGCAUCAGAAUACAUGUCUGGAGUGCCGACGAUGGAAAGGCAAACCUGACUUUCCCAAGAUGGCUGAUUACCCACCUGCCCGACUACGAAUACACAAACCACCUUUCUAUUCAACCGGCGUUGAUUGCUUUGGCCCCUUCCAAGUGAAAAUUGGGCGCCGCAGGGAGAAAAGAUGGGGAAUUAUCUACAAAUGUAUGACAACUCGUUCAGUGCACUUGGAAUUACUGGAGAGCCUUGAUACAGACGCCUUUCUGUUGUCUCUACGAAGAUUCAUUUCGCGACGAGGCAAACCCUUUGAACUUCUCAUGGACAAUGGGACUAACUUUGUUGGAGGGGAACGUGAAUUACGUGAAGCAUUCGCUUCAAUGACAACUCACUUGAGAGAGCAACUAGCGGCGCACCAGAUUUCAUUUCGAUUCAAUCCUCCAAGCGCGCCGCACUUUGGGGGCACAUGGGAGAGGGAAGUGAAAUCCAUUAAAACGGCCCUCAGAGUCGUUCUAAAAGACCAGACCGUUCCUGAACCCGUCCUAUUGACGAUGCUGGUGGAGGUUGAAGGCAUAAUGAAUGCUAAACCCCUAGGUUACCUGUCUUCAGACGCCUCAGAUCCAGACCCAGUCACGCCUAACCUCCUCCUCAUGGGUCGUCACGAUUCAUCUCUACCUCAAGCCAUCUAUGACCCGAGUGAUUUAGGAAGAAGACGCUGGAGGCACAGCCAAACCCUUGCAGAUCGCUUUUGGUCAUCUUUCAUCCGGCAUUACCUGCCAGGGCUGCAGGAGCGUAGCAAGUGGAGGAACGAGGGCAAGACACUCUUGGUUGGUCAAGUCGUCCUGAUAAUGGAUCCUCAACUCCCCCGAUCAUCGUGGCCUGUGGGAAGGAUUAUUCAAACCCAUCCCGGAGCUGAUGGACGCAUCCGCACGGCCAGUGUUCAAGUGGGAAAUCGCACCUAUUGUCGUCCAGUGGCUCGCCUCAUUCUGCUCCCGCCUCUUGAAGAAACGUCUGAUGACGACACCAGCACAUAGACUUUCUCACUGCUUUCAACUACCUUACGGACAGUUGGGGGCGGCUGUGUCUGAAAGUCUGUUUGUGUAACUUUGAUGUCUGUUAUAAGUAGAACAUUUGUAGCCUUUUCUGUGAUGUCCAAGUGUCCAUGAACGCAGCAGCAACUUGUUCCUGGAAGGUACGUGAUGCACUUGAAUGCAACCUUCUUACAAAAGGAACUAGCUGAGCACUGGUAGCAGUUUGCUAGUAUGAGCUUGCUUCCCAUGUGGGGUAUGAAGUGUCCAUCCUUGGUGUGCGUUGUAUGACUCAACAAGGACAGCCAAUGGAUACUUGUCUUUCUGAGGAGUUGUCAACAUUGAUGCCAACCGCCAUAAUACAGAUGAAGAAGACAUUUGUAGACGGUCCCUGCGCUCCGGUGUCGCUGCCGGCUUCUCCGAGAGAUCAAUAGAAGUCAGACUGCACAGAACACGGCUCGUUUUGAUCAAAAGUGGCUUGUAGCUGUUUGUGUUGCCACAGUUGGAAAGAGGCAAGGACAACUCCAGCUCUGAUGACGACGUUCCUCUCUCGGAGCUCGUCGUGAGGCGCCCCACAAAGGCAAAGCCGUCUCCAGACAACGCUCACAGCUCUAAAGAAGAUUCAAAAGAGGACAGAAGUGACGACGAGCCGCUGAUUAA
This is an RNA transcript of Dunckerocampus dactyliophorus (ringed pipefish), 2999 nucleotides long. It is a transcript of the gene named nucleolar protein dao-5-like, with no coding region annotated. Lineage: Eukaryota; Metazoa; Chordata; Actinopteri; Syngnathiformes; Syngnathidae. The record is from RefSeq and is a predicted model, not a curated record. The transcript is spliced from 4 exons.